This 498-nucleotide ribosomal RNA is filed under the name uncultured bacterium. RNAcentral's name for it is "bacterial SSU rRNA". It matches the Rfam family "Bacterial small subunit ribosomal RNA", at positions 28 to 521 of the family's 1533-position model. The record is from RNAcentral.
AACGAACGCUGGCGGCGCGCUUAACACAUGCAAGUCGAACGAGAAGGCGUAGCAAUACGCUUGUACAGUGGCGAACGGGUGAGUAAUACGUGGGCGACCUACCCUCGAGUGGGGAAUAACCCGCCGAAAGGCGGGCUAAUGCCGCGUACGCUUCCAUCUUUAUGGAGGUGGAAGGAAAGCCGUGCCGUGGGCACGGCGCUCAAGGAUGGGCUCACGUCCUAUCAGCUUGUUGGAGGGUAACGGCCUACCAAGGCUCCGACGGGUAGCUGGUCUGAGAGGACGAUCAGCCACACUGGCACUGCGACACGGGCCAGACUCCUACGGGAGGCAGCAGUGAGGAAUAUCGCGCAAUGGGCGAAAGCCUGACGCAGCGACGCCGCGUGGGGGAUGAAGGUCUUCGGAUUGUAAACCCCUUUCGGGAGGGAAGAUGGGACGGGCAACCGUUCGGACGGUACCUCCAGAAGCAGCCACGGCUAACUUCGUGCCAGCCGCCGCGGU